AGUAGAGUAAGCUAAAUAUUUAAGCUUUUGGGCUCAUAUUCCAAAAAUGGAAGGAUAAAAGCCUCCCUCUACUU
RNAcentral lists this transfer RNA (74 nucleotides) under Sinaechinocyamus mai. RNAcentral's name for it is "tRNA-Met". It matches the Rfam family "tRNA". Rfam says of the family: Transfer RNA (tRNA) molecules are approximately 80 nucleotides in length. Their secondary structure includes four short double-helical elements and three loops (D, anti-codon, and T loops). Lineage: Eukaryota; Metazoa; Echinodermata; Echinoidea; Clypeasteroida; Taiwanasteridae. The record is from RNAcentral.